Molecule: unclassified non-coding RNA, 288 nt
Filed under: Protium warmingianum
Lineage: Eukaryota; Viridiplantae; Streptophyta; Magnoliopsida; Sapindales; Burseraceae
Description: partial external transcribed spacer
Source: RNAcentral
UACUGGCAGGAUCAACCAGGUAGCAUUCCUUCGCGACGCCGACGCCCGCAUGAGGCCCGACGAGCCGUACGGCCCUUGGACGCUCAAGACGGGCAUGGCAGUCGUUCGUGUCGAUGGACAAAAUGCAUUGCUUGGGCAAACGAAGGCCAGGAGACCCCCCACCCGCGCAUAACAUUCUGCAUCCGAGAGCACGGGCAGAACACCUCAUGGGCCAAGGCAACCACGCAACUGGGCGAGGCAUGCCAGGAACACGAGGCUCGCCUUGCGUCCACCCCACCACCCGUGAGG